UUUGUCAGCUGUUGUUUUUCAGUUUUGUUUGUUUUAAAUCCGUGAAUCUGGUAUAACGGUAAUAUAACAACAAAAACAACAACAAUCGUCGUAGUAAUAAAUAUAAUAUGUUCUACUAAUUAGUAUUAAUGAAGUAUUAACUCGAUCGCGUUUCCAAAUAAUAUUUUUGUUUGAAGUGCUCGAUAUUUAAAAUAAUUAUUAUUACUAUUGUCUUGUGAAGAAGUGUGUGAUCGUCGUCGCGUGUUAUUCAGUUAAAUCUAAUAUAACGUCGUUGACGCCGUAGCAGGAAUAAUAUUUACUUCGAAGAAGGAUAAUUCGUUGAAUACUUUUAAUCCGCUCCUGGUUCGUCGUCGUCAUCAAUUGUGCGCUUGCGAAUACGUAAGACAUCACCUAAUAGCGUGAAACUUGUGCUCGGCCAACAUUCAACAUAUCGUCGGGUAGUUAUGACUCCGAACGACAUGGACCAGAGUCAGCAGCAGGCCAAUCAGGGUAACACUCAAGAUUUCAACGGUU
RNAcentral lists this unclassified non-coding RNA (513 nucleotides) under Sipha flava (yellow sugarcane aphid). RNAcentral's name for it is "uncharacterized LOC112681920, transcript variant X1". Lineage: Eukaryota; Metazoa; Arthropoda; Insecta; Hemiptera; Aphididae. The record is from RNAcentral.